AAGCUGCUCCUUGCAUGGACUAUUGCUCGUGGGCACAACAAGGUGGCAGAAAGCAACUCAGAGAAUGAAAAGGCGUGACUUCUGGAGGCUCAGGAGACUCACGUGCGAUGUUCUUUGGACAGACUCCUGCUUUCCACGGCGGUGGUGGUCUCACUCUGUGGCCGCCACCUUUCUUUAGGCAGGUAGAGUAAAGCCUGGCAGCUAGAUAUUGUUUGAAGCAGGGGGAGCUCUUCCUGUCGAGCACUGUCAACUGUCACAGUA
Molecule: non-coding RNA, 261 nt
Organism: Anoplopoma fimbria (sablefish)
Lineage: Eukaryota; Metazoa; Chordata; Actinopteri; Perciformes; Anoplopomatidae
Source: RefSeq, a predicted model, not a curated record